RNAcentral lists this ribosomal RNA (465 nucleotides) under uncultured bacterium. RNAcentral describes it as "partial 16S ribosomal RNA". It matches the Rfam family "Bacterial small subunit ribosomal RNA", at positions 28 to 504 of the family's 1533-position model. The record is from RNAcentral.
GACGAACGCUGGCGGCGUGCUUAACACAUGCAAGUCGAACGGAAAGGCCCUGCUUUUGUGGGGUGCUCGAGUGGCGAACGGGUGAGUAACACGUGAGUAACCUGCCCUUGACUUUGGGAUAACUUCAGGAAACUGGGGCUAAUACCGGAUAGGAGCUCCUGCUGCAUGGUGGGGGUUGGAAAGUUUCGGCGGUUGGGGAUGGACUCGCGGCUUAUCAGCUUGUUGGUGGGGUAGUGGCUUACCAAGGCUUUGACGGGUAGCCGGCCUGAGAGGGUGACCGGCCACAUUGGGACUGAGAUACGGCCAAGACUCCUACGGGAGGCAGCAGUGGGGAAUAUUGCACAAUGGGCGAAAGCCUGAUGCAGCACCGCCGCGUGCGGGAUGACGGCCUUCGGGUUGUAACCCGCUUUCGCCUGUGACGAGGCGUGGGUGCCGGUAAUGGGUAAAGAAGCACCGGCUAACUAC